This is a non-coding RNA of Triticum urartu, 2704 nucleotides long. NCBI's taxonomy places the organism in Eukaryota, Viridiplantae, Streptophyta, Magnoliopsida, Poales, Poaceae. The record is from RefSeq and is a predicted model, not a curated record.
UCUGGGAAAAAAAGGUUCACCGCAUCCCCCCACCCGCACGCCGGCGCUUGCAUCGCCCCCACGGCUCCGCCUCGCUUGGCACCGGCCCACCUCGCCGCCGGCCCUCCCCCUCACCUUCUCCCACCUUGCAGCGCCGGCGUGUGCCAGAUCCGCCUGCAUCCCCCAGCCAACCAUCCCUCUCACAUCUCAUCUCUCUCUCCAUGCGGCUCCUCGCUGCGCUACCUGCGGCGGCUGAUCCAAACGACGUCCGGCGAAUCCCCACCACCACGAAGCACCGCUCGAGGCCCCCUCGCACUCGUGGCGCCCUCUCAUACGACUAGAUCCGGCGCUCGCGGCCAGUAAAGCUCACCGGCGACCCUCCUCCCAUGGCUAGGGUUUCGGGCAUCUACUCCGGCGCCGGUGGCCAAGUUGCCCUCCUCUCGUCCGACGUGGAGGGAGGUACUGUGGACAGCCUUCCUGCUGCUCGGGACGAAGUAGCCAUGGAGCUUCCUCCUCCUCCUCUGGCUUCAGGUGAGUUUGUCCGCCGUGAUCCAUCUAACGGCCAGCGCGAUGACCUAGAAAGUAGGACAGGGCCUGGACAUGGUAGGUCACAAACAUCCAUCUAUUUUGCCCUCCUGUACAUAUUUUGAUGUUGGAUCGGUGCUGUGUUUCAAUUGCUAAGAAAGCAGAAUAAAAGGGCUAUGUUCUGUAGUUAGCAGCUGGACCUAGGCGUCUCCAUAUCAUACCUCCACAAAGAAAAUAUCAUACUAAAUCUACUAGUAUGUGAGUUUGCCCAUAUGCACAAUUUACCUUUUUCCUAACAAGUUCCGAUCCUCACCCCUUCACUAGCUACUUACUCAUGGUGCUGGUCAAUGCACUCUAUGUGGUAAACUGCUACGAGGCUCUAUUCUUUUUCUUCAAAAUAAAUUACUUUAAUUAUAAGAGAUGGAGUUUUUUCCAGGAAUAUUUGAUUACUGUUUGGUUUGAUCAGCUAGGGAUACCAUAUUUUUGAAAAGCAAUCAAAAUCUGUUUCUGGGUAGAUGCACUGCAAAAAUACCAGCAUCAUUAGAACAUAAAGAUAGGGAUGUGCUUAAUAAUUACCCUCACUGUCCUACUGAUAGUUCUCUUUGUUCUUGCAAAGGUGCUUAUUAAUCCACUGAAACCAUGUUAUAAGAUGCAAUUGUUUUAUCUCCUGAAAAAGCAUGAAGAUUUGUUUCUUUUAGUAAUUAAUUGAAACCACCUGUAAGCCUGCAAUGAAGCUUCUAUUAUUUUUGUCUCAUCAAUUUGGUAGCUAUUUUAUGCAAUAUGUUUUACUUAAAUUUCAGCAAAGGGAGCAUCUAUAUUUUGACAUAUGAACUGGUCUCUUUUUCUUUUCUUGACGGAGCGCACCUGGGCUCUUGAACGGCAUUCAAUACCCUGGUCAUAUCCUCAAAUUAAGCCAAUCUCACCAUGGGUCUUAUUCGCUGCCACCACCGGCAUGUUUCCAGCCGACCACCCAAAGACACUAACUUCAUGCAAAAUCGCAUUGCAGAUCGCAGGUGCAGCAGACUUGAUCCCCUUAGAUUGAUCCCACACUUAGAUUUGUCCGAUGGUAAUCCAUGUCGUCAUUAGCAUGAUGCCUUGCAAAGUGGGGCUGACCAGGGUAGUGUCUGUACACAGUGGGUCAUAAGCCUCUGCUGCUUUGUCGUACAAGCUAUGCUUUUGCUGAUGCUGUGUGUUUCACUUCAUAAUAUUUUUCAUCAGCAUAUUCAUCACGUCUUACACUACGGUCUCGGCAGGAAGUAGUAUACUUCAUAAUAAAGAGAAAACUGUAGAUAUGUUUUAAAGGCAGACUGGUCAUCGUUUGCUACCAAGAUGUGGGCGAGAGCGCGUAAUCGAUGAUAGGCUGAGGAGGCUAAGCCGAUAUGCAGUGGCUGGUACCUGUUGGAUGUCAUUGACGGCUAAGUGCAACCUGUGGCACAAGACGCCGACAAAGGGAUUCUCAACACCUGCUAAACUGGCCUAAGAAUUUGAUUGUUAUUCUGCUUUAGUUACGGCAUCAUGUCGAUAUGGCACUGUGAAAAUUGAAGAUUUGGUAUGGAGUCGCAAAAACUGCAAUACUCUCGGUAAUGCAGAAAAAACAAAGAUUUCAUGGUCUUCAACCUUUAUUCAAAAGAUACAUGGAUGAUUAUAUGGGUGUGUGGCAAGUAUACUGCAAUGAUGAUGAUGUUUCGGUUCAUCAUGAUGAUGAUGGAUGCUUUCAGUUUAGUUAAGUUGUAGGAAUUUUGUUCCUGUUGGAUAUGUUUCUCGGUUAAGGUUUAGUUAAGUUGUAGAGACAACUUGUUCACAAGGAGUGUGCUUCCUUCUACAGAGACAGCUGGUACACAUGGAGGUUGCAUCAAUGGUAACGCUGGUUUCACAAAAACAAGAUUGCUAGGAUAUGCUGCUUAUCAUUACGGUUGGGUUCGUUACUCGUGGUGGCAAAAAAGAUGGCACCUACCUUGUAUCUUGUUGGCCAAGGGUAGGAAGGGACACUUUGCAGAUGGAAGGGGGUGUUGUAGGGCAGUUACUCUAAAGGAAUGAAUGGAAAAAGGCAGAGGUGUUUAUCAUCGAAAACUAAACUUGCAUGUACCCAUCUUAUGUGAAUAAGCAUGUAACCAGCUUAUAUCGAUAUUUUCAUUGUAAUGGAGACAUAAGACACAAGUGACAUGUUAAACUCAAAUAAUAUUUUUAUUAGUAUCUCAAA